AACGAACGCUGGCGGCAUGCCUAACACAUGCAAGUCGAACGAGACCUUCGGGUCUAGUGGCGCACGGGUGCGUAACGCGUGGGAAUCUGCCCUUGGGUUCGGAAUAACAGCGAGAAAUUGCUGCUAAUACCGGAUGAUGACGUAAGUCCAAAGAUUUAUCGCCCAAGGAUGAGCCCGCGUAGGAUUAGCUAGUUGGUGAGGUAAAGGCUCACCAAGGCGACGAUCCUUAGCUGGUCUGAGAGGAUGAUCAGCCACACUGGGACUGAGACACGGCCCAGACUCCUACGGGAGGCAGCAGUGGGGAGUAUUGGACAAUGGGGGCAACCCUGAUCCAGCAAUGCCGCGUGGGUGAUGAAGGCCUCGGUUGUAAGACCUUCGGUCGGGACGGAGUGAUGACGGCGACCCG
RNAcentral lists this ribosomal RNA (406 nucleotides) under uncultured bacterium. RNAcentral's name for it is "bacterial SSU rRNA". It matches the Rfam family "Bacterial small subunit ribosomal RNA", at positions 29 to 482 of the family's 1533-position model. The record is from RNAcentral.